Molecule: long non-coding RNA, 1041 nt
Organism: Cercocebus atys (sooty mangabey)
Lineage: Eukaryota; Metazoa; Chordata; Mammalia; Primates; Cercopithecidae
Exons: 3
Source: RefSeq, a predicted model, not a curated record
AAUUGCUCAAUAGACAGUGUUUAUUCUAGUUGGUACAUUGAAGAUAACCUCUAAUGACCUUUAGAUUCUGAACUUAGGUAACCCCUCUGAGAAUUUAUCAGAUAAACAAGUAAUAAGUGAGACCAACGUCGUAAGGUAUUAACUCGGAGCCGUCAUCUAUCCUUGUGGAGAAUAACCCAGAGGACUUGGAUUAGGACCUGAUAGUCUACCUUGGCGGCACGUGAGAAUCACCUGGGGAGCUUGUGAAACAUGAGGCUGCCAGGCUGGACCUCACUCCAUACCAAUCGAAUCAGAAUCUUUGGGGUGGGGCCUGGGUGUUGGUAAUUAUCCUUUGAAACACUCCCCAGGUGAUUCUAAUGGAAUCUAGGAGCGAGAAUCACUGGGGUAAGGCAUUUGUAGAUGGGGAGAUUGGUGGCAUCUGCCAGAAGACUUGACGUGUAUUUGGCCAGAGAUAAACCUCAGGUCUGGCCUGAAUGUGGAAAUGUGUCAGUCAUCUUUUCAGAUUUCCAAGGUCAUGUGAGCUUGGACUGAAGAUAGCCCAGCACAGGGCCAGCGAUGGCAGCUGGAAGGGUGGCUGCCUGGGAAGGAGGCCUGGAUCUUGAGGAAGGCAUUUCUUAAACAGCUGCAACUCCCGGCACAUUGUAGGGUUGAACUUCCCUGUUCGCAUUACAUAAGAUGGGUCAUCUGACUGGCUGUGGCCAGUGAAAUGUAGAUGAAAAUAGCCUGUAUCACCUCUGGACGAGUCAUUAGGAGCCAGUGUAUGAUUUGCUACAUUUCGUUCUGUCUGCCAUGGUGAUUGGUGAUGGAGGCUCUAUUAGUUUUUGUUCCUGAGUAAAGUGAUGUAGGGAUGAGUCCCUAGCUGACUUCCAAUAUGAGUGAGAAAUAAACCUUUAUUGUUUUAAGCCUCCAAGCUUCGAAGAUUGUUAUAUAGCCCACCAUGACAAAUAUACUAUUAGUCCUUUAUUUACAUGCUUUAAAAUAUGGCUUGCAUUUUCUGAUUACCAUAUGUUCAUUGUGGAGAAUUUCAAAAAAUAUUAAAAA